Molecule: long non-coding RNA, 1122 nt
Filed under: Mustela putorius furo (domestic ferret)
Lineage: Eukaryota; Metazoa; Chordata; Mammalia; Carnivora; Mustelidae
Description: lncRNA (ENSMPUG00000028589.1)
Source: RNAcentral
GUUUCUUCAGAGUCCAGAACCAAGAAAACAAAGAAAACACACACUGGAGGCCAUUUUUGUUGUACAGUUAAAUCUGAGGCUUCCUGGAUGACAGCUGAGCAUCCUAACCAGUGUGAGGAUCCUGUCAGCCCUGAGGGUGAUCAGCUGGACCCGGGGCAGCCAGAACUCCCAGCAAGCUAAUCACAUCCAGGAGGAUACAGCCUUUUCCAGAGCUCCAAGGAGGACUCCUCAGGCGCAGUGAGAGGUGGCCUCACAGUCCUUGCAGGAAAUGGGCCCAAUAAAUGUCAUCCUGCCCUCAGCACUGCCUAGACUCACUGAGUACAGCCCCAAACGAGCUCUACAACCCGACAUCCAUUCUGUUAGCCAACUGCAGACAGACCACUGCAGACAGCAGUUCAAACUGUUGGAGCUGUUGGAAGUCAGAAUCCUGGUGCCCAAGGAGCAUGGCAUACAAAGAUGCAGCUUCUUGAGUGUAAGGAAGCCAGGAAUCCAAGUUUAUGUAAAUUCAGAUGAAGAAAUGGAAUCCACAUCUUCAGAGAGCAUUAUACCUGAGACUUCAGAUGGUGCUCGGACAGAGGGAGACUUCCCCAAGCUGUAUUGCUAACACACAUAAUGUGAGCAAUGGGAAAAUGUAACUUCUUUAAAGAAUGCAGAGAGAUAAAUGUACCUCAAUUCUUAAAAUGUGCCUCAAUUCUUAAGAAAACUGAUGUUUGAUCUAAGAAAUGGAUAAAAGAGUUUAUUCACAUUGAAACAUCUGCCUUUGAGGCUAAGGUAAGUUAAAACUCUAGAUUCUGAAUAUAUGCAGGUUACAUAAGUAAAAUCUGCCUGAAGGCCACUUUAGUCGACACACCCAAUUUUAAGAAACAUCAUUUUGUACUAAAGAAAACAGUUUGCCUUUUUGAUCCCAUUCUUCUUUUUAUUCAGCUUACACUGGCUUUCUCAGCCAUGUCUGAACCUCUCCCUUCACCUACAUGGCACAAUGCCAGUCUUAUAUUCUACUCAAAUGGAAGAUAUUGCUGACUUGGAAUACAACUUUUUUGAAAACAAUAUACAUUCCCCACAUUCAUCAUCAGAUUGUAUGAAAACAGGAAAAGCUGUAUGAAACCCCAAACCCAGAGCAUG